AGGAUGAACAACGGUGCUGGUUCGCCGUGCCCACAACGGGCGCGGCGUCGUAAGAGGGAACCCGGUGCGAGUCCGGGACUGCCCCGCAGCGGUGAGUGGGAACGACCGCCGUCAUGAGCACUGGACCGCGAGGUCUGGGAAGCGACGGCCAGUAGGCGACCGUACCGGUCACGCCCACGAGUCCGAAGACCUGCCCGCACCGCGCACGCCAC
RNAcentral lists this non-coding RNA (212 nucleotides) under Micromonospora echinaurantiaca. The record is from RNAcentral. Lineage: Bacteria; Bacillati; Actinomycetota; Actinomycetes; Micromonosporales; Micromonosporaceae.